CUGGGGAUGCAGCUCAGUGGUAGAGCACUUGCCUAGCAUGUGCAAGGCCCUGGGUUCAAUUCCCAGUGCUAGA
RNAcentral lists this transfer RNA (73 nucleotides) under Marmota monax (woodchuck). Its description in RNAcentral is "tRNA.Ala". The stretch from base 9 to 70 matches the Rfam family "tRNA". From Rfam's summary of the family: Transfer RNA (tRNA) molecules are approximately 80 nucleotides in length. Their secondary structure includes four short double-helical elements and three loops (D, anti-codon, and T loops). Lineage: Eukaryota; Metazoa; Chordata; Mammalia; Rodentia; Sciuridae. The record is from RNAcentral.